ACGAAGGGUGCAAGCGUUACUCGGAAUUACUGGGCGUAAAGCGUGCGUAGGCGGUUCGUCGCGUCGGCUGUGAAAACCCGAGGCUCAACCUCGGGCCUGCAGUCGAUACGGGCAGACUAGGGUGCUGUAGGGGAGACUGGAAUUCCUGGUGUAGCGGUGAAAUGCGCAGAUAUCAGGAGGAACACCGGUGGCGAAGGCGGGUCUCUGGGCAGUAACUGACGCUGAGGAGCGAAAGCGUGGGGAGCAAACAGGA
This 253-nucleotide ribosomal RNA is filed under the name uncultured prokaryote. Its description in RNAcentral is "partial 16S ribosomal RNA". It matches the Rfam family "Bacterial small subunit ribosomal RNA", at positions 525 to 777 of the family's 1533-position model. The record is from RNAcentral.